This 31-nucleotide non-coding RNA is filed under the name Homo sapiens (human). The record is from RNAcentral. Lineage: Eukaryota; Metazoa; Chordata; Mammalia; Primates; Hominidae.
UCCCUCAUGGACCUUGCUGACGUCUUCACGU